This is a long non-coding RNA of Sapajus apella (tufted capuchin), 138 nucleotides long. RefSeq lists it as uncharacterized. The transcript is spliced from 4 exons. Lineage: Eukaryota; Metazoa; Chordata; Mammalia; Primates; Cebidae. The record is from RefSeq and is a predicted model, not a curated record.
UUUUUUUUUUUACUUUAGGUUCUGGGGUACAUGUGCGGGUUUGUUAUAUAGGUAAACUUGUGCCAUGGGGGUUUGUUGCACAGACUGUUUAAUCACCCAGGUUUUAAGCUUAAUACCCUUUAGUUAGUUAUUUUCCUU